AUUAGAUUUAUCCUUCUAUUGUUGCAGUUAUUUUACUUUUCCUACUGGUGGACCGCUCCCCUGCUUUUUACUUCUUGCUAGCUCUCAAGGCAAUUGUUAUUUCAGGCUUGUUAAUUGUGUCUGCCAACUCCCACAUAGCUCCUGGAGCGUAACCCUGCACGGGGUAAUGCGCCACUUUCUAUUGCCCCGCCAUUGAAUUAGGCCCUGCCUCUCCCAGAAUGAGAUGUACGCUCGUCCUUUCUCUAUGCUUUUUUUUUCUUUUUUUUUCUGUUUUCUCUGGAGGGUUGUAUUGCAACAAGCUUUUACACCUGGAACUGAAAAUUCAAGACCGGGCAUGUAGGCUGUAGUAUCUCAUAUCCACUCUGGAAUGGGCAGAGAAGGGAAAUCGUUAUGUACUCACCAGCAGAUUAUAUUUUGACAUUAAACUUGUGAAUAGCUCCUUGGAGCCCUGGGAUUACUCAGUAAUAUUUUUUUUUUCCUUCUUAAUCAAGAAUAUAUGCUUUUCCCAAGUCUGCGUUUAACUGUCAGAUUCAUCUUAUUUGCUUUGGACGAGAGAUUAAAGGUUAAUGUCACAAGAAUGUCAUUGCACUAUGAUUUAAGUGCCCCUUAUUUUUAAGGGAGAUUACUAGUUUCUGUUGCAACUGUGUCUUUGCUUAAAACCCAACUUUCUACACAAGCUUCACCAUCCUUAUUGAUACAUAGUAUUUUCAAGAGAAAUAAAGAGCCACGAAGUUAGAUAAUAAAGAUUCCUUCAUGUGGCUCCAUACAUUUACAUCAUAAAAAAUCUUCAUCACUUUAUGUCAUUUGUCACUGUUUUCCAGAACAUCAGCUCUGGCACUACUUCGCAUACUUAACGUCUUACAAAGUUUCAAACAGCUACUAUAAUAAAGAACACAAGAUGCCACCAAUAACCCAGCAUAAAGAUACUUCUUCUGCAUCCUUGAGAGUGUUGUUCCAGAACUUUCCUGGCCUGAGAUGCAGGAGGGAGAAGCAGAGUCAUUGUCCACAGCAUUGAAGUCUGAUCAGUCAAGCUCUCAGGAGGACACUCCUGCAAGAAAGUGCUGCUCCUCCUGCUACUCCUUCUGUAGCCAACAGCAAGUGGAACAUUGGAUGUCAUUUGGUUUCAAGAGCCACCUUGAAAGUGAUGAGUUGCUGCUCACCAGAUGUACUUCUUUGUUAUUAUUUACCUAGUGACCGAAUUUUUACGGUCCCUUCACAGACGUCCUCACAAAGUAAAAAUCCAUCCGUAAGUAAAAAAAUCCCGAAUCCUCUCUGUUUGUGCUUUGACCUAUGAUAAUAGUUGCAGAGUGGUAGCUUUGAAAGUCAGCAUCUCAGUACCAGUUGUACAAAAGCAGCACCACCAUCUAUAUCCUCUUGUCGUGACUCCGUAUGGAAUUGGGAUCAGACUAUACUGCAAAAAAAGAGAUCUUCUUGAUUCUCUAAUUCCUUCAGGAACCUGCAGUCAUAUUUUCCAAUAAAUAUGCACGGUAAAGACA
Molecule: long non-coding RNA, 1496 nt
Filed under: Calidris pugnax (ruff)
Lineage: Eukaryota; Metazoa; Chordata; Aves; Charadriiformes; Scolopacidae
Description: lncRNA (ENSCPUG00000017907.1)
Source: RNAcentral